CCAAUAGCGUAUAUUAAAGUUGUUGCAGUUAAAAAGCUCGUAGUUGAAUUUCGGGGUUCUACCGUUGGUCGGGCUACCAAGUCUGUACUGGUGUGUAGAACUUCUACCUUCUGGGGAACCAUCAUGUUAUUAAUUUAGCGUGGUGGGAAACCAGGACCUUUACCUUGAAAAAAUUAGAGUGUUCAAAGCAGGCUUAUGUCUGAAUACAUUAGCAUGGAAUAAUAGAAUAGGACGGUGGUCCUGUUUUGUUGGUUUCUGAAUCACCGUAAUGAUUAAUAGGGAUAGUUGGGGGCAUUAGUAUUCAAUUGUCAGAGGUGAAAUUCUUGGAUUUAUUGAAGACUAACUUCUGCGAAAGCAUUUGCCAAGGAUGUUUUCAUUAAUCAAGAACGAAAGUUAGGGGAUCGAAGACGAUCAGAUACCGCCGUAGUCUUAACCAUAAACUAUGCCGACUAGGGAUCGGACGAUGUUAAAUUUUAUUGACUCGUUCGGCGCCUUACG
This 498-nucleotide ribosomal RNA is filed under the name uncultured Glomeromycotina. RNAcentral describes it as "partial small subunit ribosomal RNA". It matches the Rfam family "Eukaryotic small subunit ribosomal RNA", at positions 591 to 1092 of the family's 1831-position model. The record is from RNAcentral. Lineage: Eukaryota; Fungi; Glomeromycota.